This 497-nucleotide ribosomal RNA is filed under the name uncultured Dysgonomonas sp. RNAcentral describes it as "bacterial SSU rRNA". It matches the Rfam family "Bacterial small subunit ribosomal RNA", at positions 17 to 507 of the family's 1533-position model. Lineage: Bacteria; Pseudomonadati; Bacteroidota; Bacteroidia; Bacteroidales; Dysgonomonadaceae. The record is from RNAcentral.
UCCUGGCUCAGGAUGAACGCUAGCGAUAGGCCUAACACAUGCAAGUCAGGGGCAGCAUAGGGUAGCAAUACUUUGAUGGCGACCGGCGCACGGGUGAGUAACGCGUAUGCAACCUACCUAUAACAGGGGAAUAACCCGGAGAAAUUCGGACUAAUACCGCAUAAAACAGGGGCUCCGCAUGGAGAUAUUUGUUAAAGAUUUAUCGGUUAUAGAUGGGCAUGCGUUCCAUUAGCCAGUUGGUGAGGUAACGGCUCACCAAAGCAACGAUGGAUAGGGGAACUGAGAGGUUUGUCCCCCACACUGGAACUGAGACACGGACCAGACUCCUACGGGAGGCAGCAGUGAGGAAUAUUGGUCAAUGGGCGAGAGCCUGAACCAGCCAAAUCGCGUGAAGGAAGACUGCCUUAUGGGUUGUAAACUUCUUUUAUACAGGAAUAAAAAGAGUUACGUGUAACUUAUUGCAUGUACUGUAUGAAUAAGCAUCGGCUAACUCCGUG